GACCUGUUAGGCCAGAUGAUAGCCCACCCGUUAGAAAUUUCCGUAUCACAACUAGCCUAUGUGGGAGGCCCCAGUUCGACUCUGGGACAAGUCA
Molecule: non-coding RNA, 94 nt
Organism: Mycena rebaudengoi
Lineage: Eukaryota; Fungi; Basidiomycota; Agaricomycetes; Agaricales; Mycenaceae
Source: the annotation of a GenBank genome assembly